UCUCCUGUGCGUGGAAAGAACUUCGGUCAAGGAUGGACUCGCGGCCUAUCAGGUAGUUGGUGAGGUAACGGCUCACCAAGCCUACGACGGGUAGCCGGCCUGAGAGGGUGACCGGCCACACUGGGACUGAGACACGGCCCAGACUCCUACGGGAGGCAGCAGUGGGGAAUAUUGCACAAUGGGCGCAAGCCUGAUGCAGCAACGCCGCGUGAGGGACGACGGCCUUCGGGUUGUAAACCUCUUUUAGUAGGGAAGAAGCGAAAGUGACGGUACCUGCAGAAAAAGCACCGGCUAACUACGUGCCAGCAGCCGCGGUAAUACGUAGGGUGCGAGCGUUGUCCGGAAUUAUUGGGCGUAAAGAGCUCGUAGGCGGUCUGUCGCGUCUGCUGUGAAAACCCGAGGCUCAACCUCGGGCCUGCAGUGGGUACGGGCAGACUAGAGUGCGGUAGGGGAGAAUGGAAUUCCUGGUGUAGCGGUGGAAUGCGCAGAUAUCAGGAGGAACACCGAUGGCGAAGGCAGUUCUCUGGGCCGUAACUGACGCUGAGGAGCGAAAGCGUGGGGAGCGAACAGGAUUAGAUACCCUGGUAGUCCACGCCGUAAA
This 601-nucleotide ribosomal RNA is filed under the name Cryocola sp. RNAcentral describes it as "bacterial SSU rRNA". It matches the Rfam family "Bacterial small subunit ribosomal RNA", at positions 189 to 806 of the family's 1533-position model. Lineage: Bacteria; Bacillati; Actinomycetota; Actinomycetes; Micrococcales; Microbacteriaceae. The record is from RNAcentral.